AUAAUAAUUAGUUUUUUAAUUGAAAACUGGAAUGAAUGAUUGGAUAAAAUAUAAGCUUUUUUUUUUAAAAUUUUGUAAAAUUUAAAUUUUUAGUUAAAAAGCUAAAAUUAUUUAAAAAGACGAGAAGACCCUAUAGAUUUUUAUUUAAUUAAAAUUUAUUAAUUUAAAUUUAAUUAAAUUUUAUUGGGGGGAUAAAAAAAUUUAAAAAACUUUUUGAUUUAUAGACAAUAAUGUAUGAAAUUUAAAAAUAUAAACUAUUUAAAUUAUUAUAAAUAAAGAUUAAAAUACCUUAGGGAUAACAGCGUAAUUUUAAUUUUAAGAUCUUAUUUAAAUUAGAGAUUGC
This 343-nucleotide ribosomal RNA is filed under the name Gracilipsodes aoupiniensis. Its description in RNAcentral is "partial 16S ribosomal RNA". The record is from RNAcentral. Lineage: Eukaryota; Metazoa; Arthropoda; Insecta; Trichoptera; Leptoceridae.